UUGAUGUUUAACAAAAGUAAAGUUUACAUUUUGUCAAAGUUAAAACAGACAAAAACCACAAAUAGCACAAAAUGUUAUAAUUUCACAAUAUUAGUGGUUACAUCUUUUAUGAGGGUUCACUACAGUGGAUAUUACUUUUUGAUUUGACUGAUUUUUUAAGCCCUGGUUUGGAGCUGGGAUGAGACAAAAUACCUUUGGUGUAUAUGAGGGAUUUAGUAUAAAAAAAUCUACCAAAUCACACAAGCUGAGCAAUGGACUGUUGUGAUCUCAUGUGAAUAAAUGAGCAGCCAGUUUAUUAGUAUUUAUUUAUUUUUUGUGACAACAGUGGAGAAAUAAAUGCAUUAUGUGAGUUAUAGAUUAAAAAUAUGUUUUCACAUGGUGAAUAAAUGUAUUGUUUAAUUUUACAGGUUAAAUGGAAAGCAGAAUGAUUGUUGAAUGGCUUAUAUCUACGUUCUUGAUUUUAAUGGGUAAGAUGGUGGCAUAUACAAACACAGCAACAAUCAUCCCUGUGAUAUUCCUGUGAUUUUCUGAUCAUUUACAUCUAUCACCUAUACAGGAACAAUGUCCAUGUUUACGCCAAUGACAAUUACAGGAGCUGCAACCACAACCACAGGAGCUCCAAUAACAACAACAGCUACAACAACAACUACUCCUUCCACAACUACCACCACAGCUACAACUACCACAGUAGUACCCACAACAACAUCUGCUCCAACAACUACCACAGCACCUCCAACAACUGCUACUACUCCUCUAAGUAGUCCCACAUCUGCUCUAACAAUCACAACAGCAGGAACACCGACCACAUCUGUAGCCACAACCACUGGACCUUUGACAAUUAGAUAUGUUGUUUUCAGAUCCAUUCAAAGCAAUUUUACAGCAGACUUGUUGAAUUCAUCAUCUGAAGCUUUUAAAAGUCGAUGUUCAUCAAUAAAGGCGCAGAUUGAACCUGCUUACAGAAAGGCGUUCCCUUCUUCCUUUGUCUCCUUGGCCGUUGUGAGCUUCAGGCAGGGAUCAGUCAUCAACACCAUAGAACUUCAGUUUGUAAACUCAUCUGUUCUAAAUGACACUGAGAUUAGAAGUGUUUUGAUCAGUACAGCCUCAAAUGUGACAGGCUUUGACAUCGAAACGACCUCUGUCACUGUCAGUGACACAUGUGAGUAA
This 1164-nucleotide long non-coding RNA is filed under the name Oreochromis niloticus (Nile tilapia). Its description in RNAcentral is "lncRNA (ENSONIG00000037216.1)". The record is from RNAcentral. Lineage: Eukaryota; Metazoa; Chordata; Actinopteri; Cichliformes; Cichlidae.